Thamnophis elegans (Western terrestrial garter snake) is the source of this 563-nucleotide long non-coding RNA. RefSeq lists it as uncharacterized. NCBI's taxonomy places the organism in Eukaryota, Metazoa, Chordata, Lepidosauria, Squamata, Natricidae. The record is from RefSeq and is a predicted model, not a curated record. The transcript is spliced from 3 exons.
UGAAAAAUCAAACACAACCAAAAUGGGGAAGAAGCAUUUUUGUAACCUGAAAGAUCCUGGGUCAAGGGAGUCUGCAUAAGGAGUACCAAAAUUGUAAAAGGAUACCUGACAUGGGUGUGUAAUGAAUUCACACCUUCGAGGAUUUGGCAUUUCUUAACUGGAUGCUUUAUUAAAAGCACUUUGAGAACAAAGGUUGGUGAGGCAAGAUGGGAACCUUCUCCUUCAGUUUAGUUUACCAGAGAGAAAUCCACUGAAUCUACCGCACACACCCUCCCCCAACUGGACACAGCCAUCUAAGGAACUUAGAGGAUUGCUUUGACUUGGCACCUCAAGGUUUUGUUUUGGCUACACAUUGAUAAGAAAGCACAGAUGUCUCUUUGAAAUUUGACCAGAACGGAGGAAAAAAAUGUUCUUUGUGAAUCCAUGCUUUAAUAUUGUUGAUCUUUAAGAUAGGGUUGCUGUGUUUGUCAGAAUGACACAAUCCCAAAGAAAAUUAGAGGUCUUGACUUUGCAAGAUAUACUUUCAGAACUACAGAAAUUAUUAAAUAAGGAAGAGAAACAAC